Long non-coding RNA from Carassius auratus (goldfish), 1393 nucleotides. RefSeq lists it as uncharacterized. The transcript has 4 exons. The record is from RefSeq and is a predicted model, not a curated record. Lineage: Eukaryota; Metazoa; Chordata; Actinopteri; Cypriniformes; Cyprinidae.
AACCAGAGAGCAAGGAAAAAGCGAUAGAGAAGAAAAUUGUGCUAAAGAAGAGAGGGGACAUAAAAAUAGUUUUCAUAUGGAAGAUUGAGAGACUGUUGUACUUUUAGUUUUCUCAUAUUUCUGUUUUUGUUUUUGUUUUUCUUCUGAAAGAUUAAACCAAAGUAGGAAACCAGUUGAAUGCGAGGAAGAUGUUAGUUGAGCUGCAGUGCUGGGGUUUGUGUUUUUCGAACAUAUAAGGCUCUUCCUGGACUUCAAGGAAAUUAUAUUUCCACCUUUUCCAUCUAAAGCACUUCCAUCACAGUCAAGCCCACAGACCAAAGCACUCAAACAACUUGGGUUCCUGGAGUUAUUGUAUGCACUGGAGUUUUAUCUCCAGCAGGUGGCAGCACACCCAACUCUCUGCAAGUGCAACAGCUUCCUUAUUAACUCUGAAAUUAUUUUAAACUCACACACACACACACACAUUAAUUCAAAUUCUGAAUCACAGCCUUUUGUAUGAUUGCUCUAAAUAAAAUACAAGAGCAGUAAAUACAUUCAGGUCAAAUUAAUGCAACUAACCAGGCUAACCUGUUGGAAAAUUCAGCUAAAGGCCAACUGAAGGUAGCAGAUGGUAGCCGGUUUCUAGCUGGUCAUUGCAUGAGCCGAGGUUGUUUAGGUGGUUGACCAACUGGUUUAUGAGAUGGCAGAUGGAGACCUGGCUAACAUGGUUGCCAAUCUUGGACCAGCAACAAAUAUCAAAAUAUAGCUACUAUAUCCCAAAAAGAAGUUUGACCAUGCACCCUUAAGCUGAUAUGAGCUGAUUUGUAUUUCAGCAGUGUUUGUGACCAGUUUGUUUUGUACUGUAUUUGUUCAGGAAAAAAAGCUGUCACUGGCAUGGAACUCUUUCAAAAGGUACUAAUAUGCAGUUAUAAUAGUGGUAAAUAAAUUAUGGAAGUGUGAUGGUGUAUGAAGAUUUUAACUGGACUCUCCAGCAUGGAGACACACUUUGCUUGAAAAGCCUUCUCUUUAUAUUGUUUGUUAAUUUUAAUUUAAAACCAAUGACUGUUAUUACACUGCAUACUUCUGAAGUGAAAUCAUAAAUUGGGGCUGCACAAUUAACACAAUUAAAUUUCUAAUAGCGAAUAUAAAUAUAGCAAUUAAACAUUCAAAGCCCUUUAUGCUAUUCUGCGUGCUUAAGAUAUGUUUUUUAUUUUCUAUCUACGUUAUCUUAAGGGGUUUUACUAUUAUUUUAAUUAUAGGUUUAGUAUAACAUUAUAAUGCCAUUGAUAUUGUUAUCUUUUAUAUUAAAUGUUUUCAGCUGGUUUAUUUUCAUAUAAAAUUGUGGCAUGCUGUUGCAUCAAAAAAUGGUAUAAAAAUAUUUCAAUGUAAAUUGUGAUAACUGUAAUUAAUAAUC